CCUACGGGAGGCUGCAGUGGGGAAUAUUGCACAAUGGGGGGAACCCUGAUGCAGCAACGCCGCGUGGGUGAAGAAGUACUUCGGUAUGUAAAGCCCUGUCAGCAGGGAAGAAAAUGACGGUAACUGACCAAGAAGCCCCCGCUAACUACGUGCCAGCCGCCGCGGUAAUACGUAGGGGGCAAGCGUUAUCCGGAUUUACUGGGUGUAAAGGGAGCGUAGACGGCAAGGCAAGUCUGGAGUGAAAGCCCGUGGCUCAACCACGGGACUGCUUUUGAAACUGUGUUGCUGGAGUGCAGGAGGGGUAAGCGGAAUUCCUAGUGUAGCGGUGAAAUGCGUAGAUAUUAGGAGGAACACCGGUGGCGAAGGCGGCUUACUGGACUGUAACUGACGUUGAGGCUCGAAGGCGUGGGGAGCAAACAGGAUUAGAUACCCCAGUAGUC
This 440-nucleotide ribosomal RNA is filed under the name uncultured bacterium. RNAcentral describes it as "partial 16S ribosomal RNA". It matches the Rfam family "Bacterial small subunit ribosomal RNA", at positions 338 to 795 of the family's 1533-position model. The record is from RNAcentral.